RNAcentral lists this unclassified non-coding RNA (215 nucleotides) under Glomus sp. RNAcentral's name for it is "partial contains 5.8S ribosomal RNA and internal transcribed spacer 2". The stretch from base 1 to 65 matches the Rfam family "5.8S ribosomal RNA", at positions 84 to 154 of the family's 154-position model. The record is from RNAcentral. Lineage: Eukaryota; Fungi; Glomeromycota; Glomeromycetes; Glomerales; Glomeraceae.
GUGAAUCAUCAAAUUUUUGAACGCAAAUUGCACUCUCUUCGGAGAGUAUGCCUGUUUGAGGGUCAGCCUAAAAAAAAUCGACGUAGUCGCUGUUUCCCGGCUACAUUCGUCGGACACCGGGUCAUCUUAAACCUUUGGGCUUUUUAAUCGGCUUAAAAUUUUCUUUACGUUUCUACGAACGUUUUUAAGAUUUUACUUCAUACACACGUUUAAGG